AAUGAACGCUGGCGGCGCGCCUAAUACAUGCAAGUCGAGCGAGAAGACGUAGCAAUACGUUUGUAAAGCGGCGAACGGGUGAGGAAUACAUGGGUAACCUACCCUCGAGUGGGGAAUAACUAGCCGAAAGGUUAGCUAAUACCGCGUACGCUUCUUGGACUUCGGUUCAGGGAGGAAAGCGAUGCCGAGGGUAUCGCGCUCUUGGAUGGGCUCAUGUCCUAUCAGCUCGUUGGNGAGGUAACGGCUCACCAAGGCCUCGACGGGUAGCUGGUCUGAGAGGACGAUCAGCCACACUGGCACUGCGACACGGGCCAGACUCCUACGGGAGGCAGCAGUAAGGAAUAUUGCGCAAUGGGCGAAAGCCUGACGCAGCGUUUACGCCG
RNAcentral lists this ribosomal RNA (383 nucleotides) under uncultured bacterium. Its description in RNAcentral is "bacterial SSU rRNA". It matches the Rfam family "Bacterial small subunit ribosomal RNA", at positions 29 to 399 of the family's 1533-position model. The record is from RNAcentral.